Molecule: ribosomal RNA, 102 nt
Filed under: Acinetobacter bohemicus
Lineage: Bacteria; Pseudomonadati; Pseudomonadota; Gammaproteobacteria; Moraxellales; Moraxellaceae
Also listed under: 1 other name
Source: RNAcentral
GCAAGAGUGAACCACCUGAUCCCUUCCCGAACUCAGAAGUGAAACCUCUUCGCGCUGAUGGUAGUGUGGGGUUACCCAUGUGAGAGUAAGUCAUCGCCAGCU